Molecule: small nucleolar RNA, 51 nt
Filed under: Pyrobaculum arsenaticum DSM 13514
Lineage: Archaea; Thermoproteati; Thermoproteota; Thermoprotei; Thermoproteales; Thermoproteaceae
Also listed under: 1 other name
Description: PARsR109
Source: RNAcentral
GUGUGGCUCUACCUGAGCCUCCGAUGGUGUGAGGAGACGGCGGAUUGCCGA